This 161-nucleotide ribosomal RNA is filed under the name uncultured bacterium. RNAcentral describes it as "partial 16S ribosomal RNA". It matches the Rfam family "Bacterial small subunit ribosomal RNA", at positions 349 to 509 of the family's 1533-position model. The record is from RNAcentral.
CAGCAGUGGGGAAUAUUGCACAAUGGGCGCAAGCCUGAUGCAGCGACGCCGCGUGCGGGAUGGAGGCCUUCGGGUUGUAAACCGCUUUUGUUCAAGGGCAAGGCACGGUCUUUGGCCGUGUUGAGUGGAUUGUUCGAAUAAGCACCGGCUAACUACGUGCC